Molecule: ribosomal RNA, 157 nt
Filed under: Penicillium janthinellum
Lineage: Eukaryota; Fungi; Ascomycota; Eurotiomycetes; Eurotiales; Aspergillaceae
Description: 5.8S ribosomal RNA
Rfam family: 5.8S ribosomal RNA
About the family: 5.8S ribosomal RNA (5.8S rRNA) is a component of the large subunit of the eukaryotic ribosome. It is transcribed by RNA polymerase I as part of the 45S precursor that also contains 18S and 28S rRNA. Functionally, it is thought that 5.8S rRNA may be involved in ribosome translocation.
Source: RNAcentral
AACUUUCAACAACGGAUCUCUUGGUUCCGGCAUCGAUGAAGAACGAACCGAAAUAAGAUAAGUAAUGUGAAUUGCAGAAUUCAGUGAAUCAUCGAGUCUUUGAACGCACAUUGCGCCCCCUGGUAUUCCGGGGGGCAUGCCUGUCCGAGCGUCAUUG